This 298-nucleotide long non-coding RNA is filed under the name Heterocephalus glaber (naked mole-rat). RNAcentral describes it as "lncRNA (ENSHGLG00100041218.1)". The record is from RNAcentral. Lineage: Eukaryota; Metazoa; Chordata; Mammalia; Rodentia; Bathyergidae.
CAGACAGGGACCAGGUGGGGCUGGAGGGAGCUGGGCACGGGAGGCCUUCUGGUCUUCUGAGCAGGAUCAUCUAUCCUGGAAGAAAUACUUUGCGUUCCAGAACCACUGGGCCCAAGAGGUGAGAACAGCCCCAGCUGCCCCAGGAGCCUGCAUAGGCAGAUACACCGGGGACAGCGGAAGCGCCGGGACCUGCUGACCGGCUGGAGCUGGACCCUGAGGUUCGGCAGAGCCGGCUGGGACCUAAGUGUCCUGCAGGAUGCACGUGGUUUACUGCAAGCUGCUGUCGGAGGGUCCGGCC